This 254-nucleotide ribosomal RNA is filed under the name uncultured bacterium. Its description in RNAcentral is "partial 16S ribosomal RNA". It matches the Rfam family "Bacterial small subunit ribosomal RNA", at positions 524 to 776 of the family's 1533-position model. The record is from RNAcentral.
UACGUAGGGGGCAAGCGUUGUCCGGAUUUACUGGGUGUAAAGGGAGCGUAGGUGGCAUGGUAAGCCAGAAGUGAAAACCCGGGGCUCAACCCCGCGGAUUGCUUUUGGAACUAUCAGGCUGGAGUGCUGGAGGGGUAAGCGGAAUUCCUAGUGUAGCGGUGAAAUGCGUAGAUAUUAGGAGGAACACCGGUGGCGAAGGCGGCUUACUGGACAGAAACUGACACUGAGGCUCGAAAGCGUGGGGAGCAAACAGG